UAGCUCAAGUGGUAGAGCACGUGCUUAGCAUGCACAAGGUCCUGGGUUCAAUCCCCAG
This 58-nucleotide transfer RNA is filed under the name Camelus bactrianus (Bactrian camel). It matches the Rfam family "tRNA", at positions 8 to 63 of the family's 71-position model. From Rfam's summary of the family: Transfer RNA (tRNA) molecules are approximately 80 nucleotides in length. Their secondary structure includes four short double-helical elements and three loops (D, anti-codon, and T loops). RNAcentral also lists the same sequence under 1 other name. The record is from Rfam by way of RNAcentral. Lineage: Eukaryota; Metazoa; Chordata; Mammalia; Artiodactyla; Camelidae.